RNAcentral lists this ribosomal RNA (497 nucleotides) under uncultured bacterium. RNAcentral's name for it is "partial 16S ribosomal RNA". It matches the Rfam family "Bacterial small subunit ribosomal RNA", at positions 28 to 523 of the family's 1533-position model. The record is from RNAcentral.
GAUGAACGCUGGCGGCGUGCUUAACACAUGCAAGUCGAACGAAGCACCUUAUUCUGAUUUCUUCGGAAUGAAAAAUUUGGUGACUGAGUGGCGGACGGGUGAGUAACGCGUGGGUAACCUGCCUCAUACAGGGGGAUAACAGUUAGAAAUGACUGCUAAUACCGCAUAAGACCGCAGCACCGCAUGGUGCAGGGGUAAAAACUCCGGUGGUAUGAGAUGGACCCGCGUCUGAUUAGGUAGUUGGUGGGGUAACGGCCUACCAAGCCGACGAUCAGUAGCCGACCUGAGAGGGUGACCGGCCACAUUGGGACUGAGACACGGCCCAAACUCCUACGGGAGGCAGCAGUGGGGAAUAUUGCACAAUGGGGGAAACCCUGAUGCAGCGACGCCGCGUGAGCGAUGAAGUAUUUCGGUAUGUAAAGCUCUAUCAGCAGGGAAGAAAAUGACGGUACCUGACUAAGAAGCUCCGGCUAAAUACGUGCCAGCCGCCGCAGUAA